This 482-nucleotide ribosomal RNA is filed under the name uncultured bacterium. RNAcentral describes it as "partial 16S ribosomal RNA". It matches the Rfam family "Bacterial small subunit ribosomal RNA", at positions 30 to 507 of the family's 1533-position model. The record is from RNAcentral.
AUUGAACGCUGGCGGCAUGCCUUACACAUGCAAGUCGAACGGUAACGGGCCUUCGGGUGCCGACGAGUGGCGAACGGGUGAGUAAUACAUCGGAACGUGCCCGAUCGUGGGGGAUAACGAGGCGAAAGCUUUGCUAAUACCGAAUACGAUCUACGGAUGAAAGCAGGGGACCGCAAGGCCUUGCGCGGACGGAGCGGCCGAUGGCAGAUUAGGUAGUUGGUGGGAUAAAAGCUUACCAAGCCGACGAUCUGUAGCUGGUCUGAGAGGAUGAUCAGCCACACUGGGACUGAGACACGGCCCAGACUCCUACGGGAGGCAGCAGUGGGGAAUUUUGGACAAUGGGCGCAAGCCUGAUCCAGCCAUGCCGCGUGCAGGAUGAAGGCCUUCGGGUUGUAAACUGCUUUUGUACGGAACGAAAAGCCUUCUUUUAAUACAGGAGGGUCAUGACGGUACCGUAAGAAUAAGCACCGGCUAACUACGUG